RNAcentral lists this small nuclear RNA (317 nucleotides) under Castor canadensis (American beaver). RNAcentral describes it as "7SK RNA (ENSCCNG00000027437.1)". It matches the Rfam family "7SK RNA", at positions 51 to 312 of the family's 331-position model. Rfam says of the family: 7SK was discovered as an abundant small nuclear RNA in the mid-70s but a possible function has only recently been suggested. Two independent studies have found that 7SK RNA binds the CDK9/cyclin T complex (known as elongation factor P-TEFb). P-TEFb activates transcription by phosphorylating the C-terminal domain of RNA polymerase II. The record is from RNAcentral. Lineage: Eukaryota; Metazoa; Chordata; Mammalia; Rodentia; Castoridae.
GGAAGUGAGACUCAGAGACUUUAUAUAACUUGUCUUAGAGUUGCCGUACUAGUUCAUGUAAGAAGUAGAACAUGCAGUUGAUCUGGCUAGCUAGGCAGGUGUCCCCUUUCUCCCUCACCACUCCAUGUGUGUCCCUCCUGAAGCUGCAUCUUGCUGGAAGAGGACAACCUUCCCUGAUAGAGGAGGACCGUUCUUUGGUCAAGGGCAUGUGAGUGGUUGUGCUCCCCUGCUAGAAUCUCCGAACAAGUUCUUGAGAAUCUUUAUUUGAAUCCAGAUCUUUCUGAAUCUUCAGCUUAUUUUUUUUUCCCACUGUCAUA